AGUUAUAUUGGAUAAUAAAGUGGUUUUGAAAGCUACUGUGAAGUGUUCGAUUCACUUGUAACUUUA
RNAcentral lists this transfer RNA (66 nucleotides) under Amphioctopus aegina. Its description in RNAcentral is "tRNA-Ser". Lineage: Eukaryota; Metazoa; Mollusca; Cephalopoda; Octopoda; Octopodidae. The record is from RNAcentral.